Long non-coding RNA from Rhipicephalus sanguineus (brown dog tick), 541 nucleotides. RefSeq lists it as uncharacterized. The transcript is spliced from 3 exons. The record is from RefSeq and is a predicted model, not a curated record. Lineage: Eukaryota; Metazoa; Arthropoda; Arachnida; Ixodida; Ixodidae.
CCAUCUGUUCCACGUGUGCAUGUAUGUUCGCGCGUUCGUCUCUUGUCUCUGUACCGACGACGAUGACCGCGAGUCGUGCAGCUUUCGUUUCGACAGCGUAGUCCGUGAACCAGUGUCCCGUAGCGACUUCGUCGUGACUGCCUCAGAGAACGUCUAGUACUGCCUUUGCUUGAUUGACGGACGUCGAGGGCGAAACAGAGCGAAGGUGCUGCAAUGCGCUGCCUUGCCACAACAAGAGCAACACAGUAGGAUGACUAAAGGACGCAACACUUCUGGACGGGAAUUACAUGUUCAAGAAUUGUUUUGAAAUGUACAAGGAAGAUAUUGGCAUUCUCCUUGCGCCAUCAGCUGUUCAACAUCUGCGAGCUGCAAAGGCUCUCCUGUAUGACAAGGAAGCAGUAGACGCGUCAUUCGCAAUGCUCAUUUUAUGUGCUUCCAAGGGAUGCAGCCAAAGGACGACCUGCGGAUGUGCGAGUCACGUUUAUGGGAGCUGCAAAAAAGAAUUAAAGUGUAUCCCCAGUGUUUGCUAUAUACUUUUAUU